CCCACCAGCUCUGCCCACUGACGAUGCCUCCCUUCAUUCCCAUCCCCAGCUGGACGAGAGCCCAAUGCUUCAGAUCGAGCUGGAUGCCUGCAAGCAGCAACUAGAACUCGAACGAAGUUUGAGCCUGGCCCUGCAGCACCAGCUUCGGGGGCUGCAAGGCGGGAGUGCUCCCCAGAGGGCAGAGCCUCCACUGGCAUGGCCAGGUCCGGGACCGUGCCCCUCUGGGACCCUGAAGGGGACAGAAGCAGAGCCCCGAUGGGACAUGCUCCAGUCCAAAGCAGAGCCUCAUAGACCCCUCCAGGAGCUUCAAGGAUCUUCAUCAGGAAGCCCUCAGGUGCCAGAGCCGCUUCAGCCAUUUCAGAGAGACGCCCGAGGGGGCCAGGAAGCAGGAGCUCCUGGACCCUUGUCAGAGGCAGAAAUUCUAAGACAGCAGCUGCAGAAGGAGAGAACCCUGGGGCAGGAGCAGGCGCAGCGGCUUCGGAGCCUCACCUCAGAGCUGCAGGAGCUGAAACUGAGGAUGCCAGAAGAACAUGAG
This 535-nucleotide long non-coding RNA is filed under the name Vombatus ursinus (common wombat). RNAcentral describes it as "lncRNA (ENSVURG00010009962.1)". Lineage: Eukaryota; Metazoa; Chordata; Mammalia; Diprotodontia; Vombatidae. The record is from RNAcentral.